ACAUCAGCCUGAACAUCACAAUUAUUACCACCACCAUUACCACAGGUAACGGUGCGGGCUGACGCAUACCAGAAAAAGAAAAAACUAAGCCCGCACCUGAACAGUGCGGGCUUUUUUUUC
This is a regulatory RNA element of Erwinia sp., 120 nucleotides long. The record is from Rfam. NCBI's taxonomy places the organism in Bacteria, Pseudomonadati, Pseudomonadota, Gammaproteobacteria, Enterobacterales, Erwiniaceae.